GACGAACGCUGGCGGCGUGCUUAACACAUGCAAGUCGAGCGGUAAGGCCCCUUCGGGGGUCCACGAGCGGCGAACGGGUGAGUAACACGUGAGCAAUCUGCCCAUCACAUCGGGAUAACUCCGGGAAACCGAAGCUAAUACCGAAUACGACCACCUCCGGCAUCGGAUGGUGGUGGAAAGUUCCGGCGGUGAUGGAUGAGCUCGCGGCCUAUCAGCUUGUUGGUGGGGUAACGGCCCACCAAGGCUUCGACGGGUAGCCGGCCUGAGAGGGUGACCGGCCACACUGGGACUGAGACACGGCCCAGACUCCUACGGGAGGCAGCAGUGGGGAAUAUGGGACAAUGGGCGAAAGCCUGAUCCAGCAACGCCGCGUGGGGGAUGACGGCCUUCGGGUUGUAAACCUCUUUCAGCAGGGACGAAGCGCAAGUGACGGUACCUGCAGAAGAAGCACCGGCCAACUACGU
This 464-nucleotide ribosomal RNA is filed under the name uncultured bacterium. RNAcentral's name for it is "partial 16S ribosomal RNA". It matches the Rfam family "Bacterial small subunit ribosomal RNA", at positions 28 to 506 of the family's 1533-position model. The record is from RNAcentral.